Long non-coding RNA from Canis lupus familiaris (dog), 718 nucleotides. RefSeq lists it as uncharacterized. The record is from RefSeq and is a predicted model, not a curated record. Lineage: Eukaryota; Metazoa; Chordata; Mammalia; Carnivora; Canidae. The transcript is spliced from 3 exons.
CUUUUCAGAGCUGUCAUAGCAUUUUACUUCUGUUUUCCCUGUGGUGCUUAAUAGAACCCAGAGUACAUAUGACUCGGGCUGGGGUACUGAUUGUAGCAUGUGAUUUUGAAGGUAUCCUGGAGUCAGGUACAAUGGUAACCCCAGGGCUAGAAUGUCCUGCUUCCACAGGGCUCAUCAUACUAAAUUUCUGACUUCUAUCAGCCUUAGGAUUCAAAUUAUUUUUCCUCCAGAGAAGAAAAUUUUACUAACAACAAGAACAACAAUACAUAUAUGCAAUGAAAAGCUACUCCUAUAGGCAUGGAAGUAUCAUGAGGAAAUCUGAGAAAAUUUGCCUGUGGAUGACAAGUCAGAACAGGGAUGACAGUAGAAUAAAGAUGUCAAUUAUGAGGUUAGCAGUCUUUCAGGCAAAAGAGCAGUAGGGCUUGACUUAGGGUGGCAUACUGGGGAUGGCAACAGAGGGAAGGGGAAAGAAUGCACCUAACACCAGCUGGUGAUGGAGCAAUUUAGGCCAAAGGGAAGAAGCAUGGAGGAGGACUUCUUGGUCUCACCGUGGAUUGAGGAGGAAAUGGAAGACAAUGAGGGUCCCUGGGUCAUUUUAAGUUUCAAAUAUAUUGAAUUUAAGUUCUCUGGAGGAUCUUUGGAUAGAUAUUUGGAUGUACUACUUGAAUUGAGGAGAGAAUGAGGAAGCUAGGCAUGCAUUCGCAUAUGAACUGUUACC